UGUAGGCCAAGGUGUAUAUAUUUAGAAGGUGAAUUUUUGUCGAUUUGGCAGGUAGACAUUUUGGAUUUUGGCCGGUCGAGAAACUUCAAAGUUUGUUUACUUAAUCAUAUGGUUUGGGACUACCAAAAUAAACAAACAUAAAGCAUCGUUUUUCGGUUCAGUAAACCAAGUUUCUACAUUUAUCAUCGUCGUUGCACAUAGCACUGAAGAUAAACAGUUCCUUUACCAGCUCUAAAAAGAAAUUUGCGUGACGUUGUUUUCUUCAUACAGCUACCAAAGGCUUAUCGGACGUAUCGAAUUACGGCAUACCACUCGAUAAAAUUACACUGGUAGAUUAAGUGAAGCUGUUCGAUUCUCGUGCUAAGUACCAUAAAUUACAAGGAAUAGGAUAGAAUUGUGCCGCAUCCACCUCGAAACCCUUAUCUUUCGUACCCGUCAGGCGUAUAAUGCUUCACUGGAUAGCAUUAGCAAUUAUGCGUAGAUUGUUCGGAAAGUUUCACUAUGAUUUGAAAGCACCAGCACCACCAGUGCGUGGACCGUAAAGUAUCAGUAUCAUGAUGUGCUGCCUCCACUGGAUCCAGGUAAGGACUCCAUCGAUCAUCGGUGUAAGAACGUUUAUAUUGAAUGA
Molecule: long non-coding RNA, 628 nt
Organism: Anopheles stephensi (Asian malaria mosquito)
Lineage: Eukaryota; Metazoa; Arthropoda; Insecta; Diptera; Culicidae
Exons: 2
Source: RefSeq, a predicted model, not a curated record